The sequence is a transfer RNA, 72 nucleotides long. It matches the Rfam family "tRNA". Rfam says of the family: Transfer RNA (tRNA) molecules are approximately 80 nucleotides in length. The record is from Rfam.
GCCGGAUAGCUCAACUGGUAGAGCACUCGGCGCGAUACCGACAUGGUCUGGGUUCGAUUCCCAGUUCGGGCU